GCGCCUACCUCCUACCUACCCUGCCGAGACACAAUAUCGGGUUCCAACUCCACUUAUAAAAAAGACAAAUCGGAAUAUGCGUCCUACUCAAGAUCCACCUCCAAGACAAUACCCCACCACAUAACUUCUCCCAUUGAAAAUCUUAUCGUUCCGGACUUUCCACAACACCCAUAACGUUGAGAGCCAAAUAAGCCAACGGCCCUUUUUAAUGAUUUUAUUCCUUUCCCAACCUCCCCAACACUCCCAAUGAACGAAAAGAUUCGGAGGGGUUAGAAAGAAAUCAUCUAGCCACGACAUUAACAACAACCAAACCGAGCUUGCCAAAUCACAAUGGAGGAAGAGGUGUAAGGACGAUUUUUCCCUCCUAUCACAAAGCCCACAAAGAAUGGAUUGAUCCGGAGAUAUGACAUUCCGCCAAGCAACGUUAACUUUAGUUGGUAAUCGAUUAAGAAGAGCCCUCCAAGCAAACGCCACCACUUUCGAAGGCGCCGGAGUUUUCCAUUAAGCUUUGAAAACCCGUUUUUCUUCAUCCCUAUAGAAGUAACACCUAUUAAAAUUGAAAAACUUGUAAUUUUUCAACAAACGAUGAUGACAACAACAACAAAUCACAAGUUUUCUGUGAUAGAGAUGGUGCUUGUCUCGUGUAGAGGUCUUGGUGCAAUUAACCAUUUUACUGCUAUUAAUUGUUCUGGUAACAACUUCCUAGUCAGUGUUUAGUAUCCAUAGUGGAAGUGCUCUGGAAGUUUUAUUGCUGCUUUCACAGUCAUCAGUUAUGAGGGCAGGCUGGCAGCAAUUUUGGAGCCAUAUUGUUUUCUUGGUUUAUAUAGGUUUAGGAGUUCUAUAGGGAUCUUGGAGCAUUCUUGUGGUGUUUUUGUAACCUAUUUCAAAUAAAUAAUGUAUUGAAGUGUAUUUUUUUUUUUACAUCCAAGUCUAGUAC
Molecule: long non-coding RNA, 937 nt
Filed under: Medicago truncatula (barrel medic)
Lineage: Eukaryota; Viridiplantae; Streptophyta; Magnoliopsida; Fabales; Fabaceae
Description: long non-coding RNA (MTRU_LNC008447)
Source: RNAcentral